GACGAACCGUGCAGACGUUGUUCGGAAUCACUGGGCUUAAAGGGCGCGUAGGCGGGCAAGCAAGUCGAAGGUGAAAUCCCACGGCUCAACCGUGGAAGUGCCCCCGAUACUGCUUGUCUUGAGGGAGAUAGGGGCGUGCGGAACUUCCGGUGGAGCGGUGAAAUGCGUAGAUAUCGGAAGGAACACCGGUGGCGAAAGCGGCGCGCUGGAUCUCUUCUGACGCUGAGGCGCGAAAGCCAGGGGAGCAAACGGG
RNAcentral lists this ribosomal RNA (253 nucleotides) under uncultured bacterium. RNAcentral describes it as "partial 16S ribosomal RNA". It matches the Rfam family "Bacterial small subunit ribosomal RNA", at positions 524 to 776 of the family's 1533-position model. The record is from RNAcentral.